GCUGGGUGCAGUGGCAAACACCUGUAAUCCCAGCACCUCGGGGGGCUGAGGAAGGAGGAUCACAAGUUCAGAACUAGCUUCAGCAAUGGUGAGGCACUAAGCAACUCAGUGAGACCCUGUCUCUA
RNAcentral lists this small RNA (125 nucleotides) under Marmota monax (woodchuck). Lineage: Eukaryota; Metazoa; Chordata; Mammalia; Rodentia; Sciuridae. The record is from RNAcentral.